This is a non-coding RNA of Candidatus Micrarchaeota archaeon CG1_02_60_51, 3615 nucleotides long. Lineage: Archaea; Nanobdellati; Microcaldota. The record is from Rfam.
UACGAGGAAAAAUUAUGCCGUACAGUGGAUGGUUGGGCUCAAGUAGCGACGAAGGGCGUAGCAAGUUGCGAUAAGCCCGGGGUAGAGGCAUGCACUCGUUGAACCCGGGAUUCCCGAAUUGCCCCGCGAGGGGCGCGUCACCCGCUGAAUUGAAAUAUCUUAGUAAGCGGAGGAAGAGAUACCAACUGGUAUACCAGGAGUAGUGCGAACGAAACUGGCGAAGGGCAAACCGAAUCCCUCCCGCGAGGGGGGUAGAGAUGUGGUGUUGCGGGCCUGCUUUUAGCAGUACGCGUUUAGGGCCGAACUCGCCUGGAAAGGCGGGCAAUAAAGGGUGAAAGCCCCGUAGGCUCUGGGCGCGGACGCGUGCAGGUUCCUGAGUAGCGCUCCCCGACUUGGGAGUGUGAAGCCGCCGGUCAUUAACCGGCAACCCUAAACAUAUCUUGAGACCGAUAGCGAAUCCAGUACUGUAAAGGAACGCUGAAAAGAACCCCGAAAGGGGGGUUAAAAGUGCCUGAAACUGUGCACGGCUACAAUCAGAUGCGGCGUGAAAGGAAUGACAACGACCGGCGUCGCAUCAUCCUUCUUGAAGCAAGAGCCAAGGAGUUCUAGGCAGUGGCGAGCAUUGAGCAUAGCGAAAGCGAUUACGCGCAACGGCGCAAGCCGCGAGGCGUGCGGUCCCAACAGGCCGCGAGUCACUGUUUACUGACCUGAAGCCGCACCGAGCUAAACCCGGGCAGGGUGAAGCCGUCCGUCAGGAUGGUCGAAGCCCGCAACCAGUGCUGGUCUAUCCGCUUGGGUGACCUGGGCUUAGGGGUGAAAUUCCAUACGAGGGCGGCAAUAGCAGGUUCCCAUCGAAGUGAACCGCAGUUCAGCCUCUCUGGAGCCGGGCCUUGAGUAGAGAUACUGAUUAAAGGGAACGGGGGCGAAAGCCUUCACCCUUCAGUCAAACUCCGAAUUCAAUGCCGGCGUAGAUGGAGGGAGUUGGGGGAGCGGGUUAAGCACGCUUUCCGAGGGGGGAACGACCCCCACUGCAGUUAAGGUCCCCAAGCAACGGCUAAGUGUUAAUCAGUAAGGUGUCCUGAACCUCAGACAGCGGGGAGGUAGGCUCAGAAGCAGCCAUCCUAUAAUCAACGCGUAACAGCGGACCCGUCAAGGUUCGGGGCGUCGCAAACUCUCGGGACUAAAGCCGUUCACCGAUACUGUGGCACCGUUGCAGUUUGCAACAGGUGAGUAGAUGGGCGUACGGGUCGGGGCGAAGCGAGGCCGUGAGGUCUCGUGGACCGUCUCGUAAUGAAGAUCUUGGCGUAAGUAGCAACGAUUCCAGGCGAGAAUCCUGGACGCCGUAAGGGCAAGGUUUUCUUGGCAACGCUAGUCGACCAAGAGUUAGUCGGUCCUAAACCCAAACGUAAUCGUGUAGGGUGAAAGGGAAAGGCGUUAAUAUUCGUCUACCACUCCAGUGGGCGCGGCAACGCAAGAACGUCUUCCAACGCUUGCGGACAAGCCCAGCACUCAUGUGGGUGCUUAACUGAACCAGACCCGUGAAGUCUCGUUGCGAGGAGCAGCGGGUCAAGUCGGGAACAGGGCCGCAAGGCCUUGGGCUGAUAUCCGAAAGCCCCUGAAAAGGAAGCGUUAACUAUCUGGAGUGACCGUACCGAGAUCGCGUACGCGUGUCCCUGGCGGAAAAAGCUAAGGCGUGGCAGGAUAACCAAGGCAAGGGAACUCGGCAAAUUGGCCCGGUACCUUCGGUAUAACGGGUGCCUACUUUACUUCCCGAGACUCUGUCAAGGGGGGUUCAGUAGGUCGCAGUGACAAGGGAACAGCGACUGUUUACCAAAAACACAGGUCCCCGCAAGGUCUAAAGGCUGUGUACGGGGGCCGACGCCUGCUCACUGGCAGUAUCUCAAAUCGGGUUUCAACUCGACAAAGGACUGCUAAAGAGCGGGAGUAACUCUGACUCUCUUAAGGUAAACCAAAGUUGCCUUAACCAAAUCUGGCUAUAUGCUGGAAAACCUGUGAAUCUCACGCUACCAGUGGAAGCGACGUCUCGCAAGCUUUAAACGGCUUCGCGGGGCAACGCUUUCGCGGGUGACAAUGCGUUGAGUGCAGGCAAUCAGCAGGAAAGGCUGGAUGCUGAGUGGAUUGCCGGUUUCGUCGACGGGGAAGGCUGUUUUCACGUGGCCUUAAACAGGCUCGAGAAAAUGGCGACUGGCUGGACCGUCCUACCUGAAUUCAGGGUCGUUCAACACCAGCGUGACGAACGGGUGCUUCACCGAAUCCGGGAUUUUUUCGGGUUCGGCAAAGUGACCGUGAAUCACGGAGACCGAAAAGAGUUCCGCGUGAGGGGAGUGAAAAACUUGAGGAAACUCGUUUGUUUCUUCGGGAAACACACUCUCCAAACUACAAAGCGAGAAAAUCUCGCUUUGUUCGCGGAAGUGCUUUCGAUCAUGGAGUCGAAACGACACUUGAAAAAGGAAGGGCUGGAUGAAAUAGCCAGCAUAAUGACCCGCAUGAACAGGAAACCGGUUCCAAAGUAUCUAGAAUCCUCAGAGACUAUACGCCAGAAGGCGCAAAGCGCGCCUAAGAUAUAGUCCGAACCGCGCGGCGACGCGCGGAGGCAGGCGGAAACGCCCUGCCCCGCUCCCGAAAGGGGGCGAGUAACAAAAUUGAGCGUAAUACCUCGCCGCUUAAUUGGUGGCUUGCAUGAAUGGCGUAACGACUGUUCUGCUGUCCCUGUCUUGGACCUGGUGAAAUCGCUUCUCGGUGAACAUGCCGAGGACUCCGAGUGGGAAACGAAGACCCCGUGAAGCUUAACCACAGGCUGUUAUUGAUUCGUUGUUGGGGAAUCAAAGAGUAAGCAGUAGCCGUCAAGCACUCCGUUCCGGCGUGGGUGAUAGGCGAAAGUGUGACACUGCUAUUCUUUGACGGCGAGUCUUUACCCGAAAGGGGACAGUUGCAGCUGGGUGGUUUGACUGGGGCGGUACGCCUUCGAUAAGGAAACAAAGGCGCCCAAAGGUCGACUCAAGCGCGUCAGAAAUGCGCUGUAGAGGGUCAAAGACAAAUGUCGGCCUGACUGUAAUCCUAACAAAGUGGGUUGCAGGCACGAAAGUGGGGCUUAACGAACAAACGUGUCUCCCUUAAUGGGAGCCGUUUCUGACAGACAAGCUACUCCGGGGGUAACAGGCUCGUCGCGGUCGAGAGUUCAUAUCGACACCGCGGUUUGGUACAUCGCUAUCGGCUCAGGUCAUCCUGGUGGUGCAGGAGCCGCCAAGGGUUGGGUUGUUCAUCCAUUAAAGACCUACGCUAGUUGGGUUCAGAACGUCGCGAGACAGUUCGGUGGCAUCUACUCGGAGUGUUUUGCUGACUGAGGGUAAGGAACUCUAAGUACGAGAGGAACGGGGUUUCGGCGCCACUGGUUCACCUGCCCUUCACAAGGGAGCAGGGUAGCUACGCGCCAGUUGGAUAAGCCCUGAAGGCAUCUAAGGGCGAAGCCAGUCCCAAAACGAGUCAGCUUAGGCCGCUCGCCAGCAGACGAGUUCGAUAGGACGGAGGUGUAAGCACGAAGCCGCAAGGCGACGUGUUCAGCCAACCGUUACUAAAGGCCAAAACCUCAACAUA